CUGUCAACCGCUGAAAGUUACUUCAUGGAAUAGGUGAGCUUCAGAACGGAUCAUCGAGGAAUGGAAUAAGGUUGCCUGGUCUGAUGAAUCAUGUUUUCUUUUAGAUCAGGUGGAUUGCCAGGUGCGUGUAUUGUUUACCUUGGGAAGAUAUGGCAGCAGGAUGCACUAUGGAAAGAAGGUCGGCAGUGACAGUGUUAUGCUCUAGGGUUAGGCAAUGUUUUGCUGGCAAAUCUUGGGUCCUGGUAUUCUUGUGUCUGGCUUUUUUUCUCUGGAUAAAAAGUGAGUAAAUUGUUUUAUUUUUAUGUAAUUGUUUUCUUUUAUACGGGGUGUGCAACCUAAUUGAUUAGGGGAAUCAGGGUUGUACCGUUAGGAAUACAGAUAUCUAUUUCUAAUGUUACAGUGUUCCUUUAAGUUUUUAGCAGUUUCAGUUACAGUAGCUCCUUAGGAACAUCAAUGAACCUUGAGCGCCCAUGACCCUAACACCAGUUCACUGUUUGCCCUUCCUUCCACCACUUUUGGUAGUUACUAACCACGGCAUGUUGGGAACAUGCACACAAGACUUGCUGUUUUGGAGAUGCUCUGACCCAGUCUUUUCGCUUGCUUUUAGCUCAUGAAAUUCAAGAACUGACUGUUCACUUGCUGCCUAAUAUAUCCCACCCCAUGACACGUGCCAUUGUAAGGAUAUAAUCAAUGUUAUACACUUUACCUGUCAGUGGUUUUAAUGUUGUGACUGAUCAGUGUACAUGAAAUUCACGUAUAUUGUGAUAUACCUGUUUAAAAAGUGGCCAAUUCAGUGUAUGACACGUUUGCUAUGACUGCUCUGCUGGGUAUACUGUAAAAUCCAGGUUAACUUGGUAACUUUGGGGGUACCAUGUAUGUCAUUAUUUAUUUUAUGUUUAAUUUACGUUUAAGUGAAUAAAUAAUAAACCAUUUAGAAUGAUCACGUCUUUAAAAGAGAUAACAGGAAAUUCAUUUAUUAAAACUACAAUACAACAUUUCAUAAUCUUGGAGAAAUAGAAAAAAUAUGUUUCUGAGUUUUAUUUGGUGUUUU
Molecule: non-coding RNA, 1051 nt
Organism: Pelobates cultripes (western spadefoot toad)
Lineage: Eukaryota; Metazoa; Chordata; Amphibia; Anura; Pelobatidae
Source: the annotation of a GenBank genome assembly